RNAcentral lists this small RNA (138 nucleotides) under Klebsiella pneumoniae. RNAcentral describes it as "RtT sRNA". It matches the Rfam family "RtT RNA". From Rfam's summary of the family: This family represents a bacterial cis-regulatory element known as RtT RNA. The exact function of RtT is unknown although it is thought that it may be involved in changing the cellular response in relation to amino acid starvation. The record is from RNAcentral. Lineage: Bacteria; Pseudomonadati; Pseudomonadota; Gammaproteobacteria; Enterobacterales; Enterobacteriaceae.
UAUAUUCUCCACAGGGGGGGGAUGAGAACCCCCGACCGGGGUUCGACAACUGGCACCGCCAGUUGGACAGACCGCGCGCCUGCGAGCGGGCUGCCCCGCAGGGGCGAGCGAAGCGAGUCAAUCCCCCCCUCACCGCCA